CCUACGGGAGGCAGCAGUGGGGGAUAUUGGACAAUGGGGGGAACCCUGAUCCAGCGACGCCGCGUGAGUGAAGAAGUAUUUCGGUAUGUAAAGCUCUGUCAGCAGGGAAGAAAGAAAUGACGGUACCUGACCAAGAAGCCCCGGCUAACUACGUGCCAGCAGCCGCGGUAAUACGUAGGGGGCAAGCGUUAUCCGGAAUUACUGGGUGUAAAGGGAGCGUAGACGGUUAAGUAAGUCUGGAGUGACAGGCCGGGGCCCAACCCCGGGACUGCUCUGGAAACUAUUGAACUUGAGUGCAGGAGAGGUAAGCGGAAGUCCUAGUGUAGCGGUGAAAUGCGUAGAGAUUAGGAGGAACACCAGUGGCGAAGGCGGCUUACUGGACUGUAACUGACGUUGAGGCUCGAAAGCGUGGGGAGCAAACAGGAUUAGAUACCCGGGUAGUC
Molecule: ribosomal RNA, 443 nt
Filed under: uncultured bacterium
Lineage: Bacteria
Description: partial 16S ribosomal RNA
Rfam family: Bacterial small subunit ribosomal RNA
Source: RNAcentral